UACGGAACAACUCCGGGAAACUGGAGCUAAUACCGUAUGUGCCCGAAAGGGGAAAGAUUCAUCGCCUUCAGAUGGGCCCGCGUCAGAUUAGCUAGUUGGUGGGGUAACGGCCCACCAAGGCGACGAUCUGUAGCUGGUCUGAGAGGAUGAUCAGCCACACUGGGACUGAGACACGGCCCAGACUCCUACGGGAGGCAGCAGUGGGGAAUAUUGGACAAUGGGCGCAAGCCUGAUCCAGCCAUGCCGCGUGAGUGAUGACGGCCUUAGGGUUGUAAAGCUCUUUCGACGGGGACGAUAAUGACGGUACCCGUAGAAGAAGCCCCGGCUAACUUCGUGCCAGCAGCCGCGGUAAUACGAAGGGGGCUAGCGUUGUUCGGAAUCACUGGGCGUAAAGCGCACGUAGGCGGAUUGUUAAGUCGGGGGUGAAAUCCUGAG
RNAcentral lists this ribosomal RNA (435 nucleotides) under uncultured bacterium. Its description in RNAcentral is "bacterial SSU rRNA". It matches the Rfam family "Bacterial small subunit ribosomal RNA", at positions 137 to 606 of the family's 1533-position model. The record is from RNAcentral.